Molecule: ribosomal RNA, 486 nt
Filed under: Megalabops quadriguttata
Lineage: Eukaryota; Metazoa; Arthropoda; Insecta; Diptera; Diopsidae
Description: partial 16S ribosomal RNA
Rfam family: Bacterial large subunit ribosomal RNA (bases 250-408)
Source: RNAcentral
GUUUCAUUUAAAUUUAUUAUAGAAUUUUAUUUUUUAGUUAAAAAGCUAAAAUAAUUUCAAAAGACGAGAAGACCCUAUAAAUCUUGAUUAUUUAAUAAUUUUAAAUUUAUUUAGAUUUUUUUUAUUUUUAAUUAUUAAAUAAUUUUAUUGGGGUGAUAUUAAAAUUUAAUUAACUUUUAAUUUAUACAUUUCAUUUAUUUAUGAAUUUAUGAUCCAUUUAUAAUGAUUAAAAAAUUAAGUUACUUUAGGGAUAACAGCGUAAUUUUUUUGGAGAGUUCUUAUCGAUAAAAAAGUUUGCGACCUCGAUGUUGGAUUAAGAUUCAUAUUUAAAUGUAGAAGUUUAAAUAUAAAGUCUGUUCGACUUUUUAUUCUUACAUGAUCUGAGUUCAAACCGGUGUAAGCCAGGUUGGUUUCUAUCUUUGAAUCAUAAAAAUAUUUUAGUACGAAAGGAAUAAAUAUUUAUUUUACAAAAAUUUAUUUAUGAAU